This 250-nucleotide long non-coding RNA is filed under the name Brassica rapa (field mustard). Its description in RNAcentral is "long non-coding RNA (BRAP_LNC003160)". Lineage: Eukaryota; Viridiplantae; Streptophyta; Magnoliopsida; Brassicales; Brassicaceae. The record is from RNAcentral.
UGUUUGAAAGUUUUUUUUUUUUUUUGUAAACUAGUGUGUUUGAAAGUUUUAAUACAAUAUUUUUAAAAUAUGAGAAUAAAUAAAAGAAAGCUGUGUUAUUUGAUAUUAUACAUAUUCCUAGAUUACCAGUUUACCUCUGAGAAACAAAUAUACCGAAAUAACACUGAAUUACAAGAAAUAAUAACGGUGAAUUCACCAACAAAUUUACUUUAUAAGGUAUGAUCAUAGGCAUGAUCAAACUAACUAGUUC